UAGUUAUUGCCCGUGACUCACGUGAGGAUGACCAUUAAGCCCUAAUUCCCCUUAUUUUCUUCAUUGUAUGAAGAGUAUCCAAUCAAAUUUAACAAUUUUAUAUAAAUAUUCAAGUACAAUCACCCGUUUGUAAAUUAUUUUAAUACAAACACUAAUUUGUUACUUUUUCAGUUGGAGUACUAACUUGUAAAUCAGGUCAUAGUGCAGAUAUUUAUCCCCACAAACCUUAAAAACGGCACGGCUCACUAAUAACUGAAGAAAACCUAAAUUAACAAUUUAGUAUUAAGGGGUAUAUAUAGAAAAAAAAUAAUAUUCACAAAUUUCAAAGAAGAGACUAUUUUUUAAUGAAACAGGGUAACAUAUCCAAUUCACAACCCAUGGGAAAGACACGAGAAAUACAAAAUCAAACAACAAAUUAGCAAUAACCCACAUCUACUUGUUCUAAAAAAAUAAUCAAAUAAAGAAAAACCAAGCAACCUAACCUACCAAAUCCCCUAAAAAGGAGGAGGAGCAGGAGCAGGGAAACCCAAGAAGGGCCUUUUUCCUCCUCCAUACCCAUUAAUGGCGGCAGAUGAUGGAACAGAGUAAUGCAAAUCAUUCUUGAUGCUGUGAAACCCUUUCUUGAAAACCCCAAAUCCAAACAGCAUCCCAAUUGCAAUUACGACCAAGAUCAGGCACGAGCAAAACAUGCACAUUCUGCACCCACAACACAUCCUUCGUUUUUUAUUAAUUUCUGCUUCUUCUUGAUGAACAGACUUAAUUUUUGUGGGUUUGAUUUGAAGAUCUGAUUUGUUGAGGAAUUUGGGUGGGAUCUGAAGUCCUUAUAAUAAGGGGGAAGGGGAAGGGGAAGGGGAAGGGGGUGUUUCAGGUGGGAUGGGAGAGAGAGAGUUGUUGAGUGUAAGUAGAUGAUAAUAGGAGCGUAUGGGGUUCAUUUUUCACUUGUCAUUUAAUUUGGUGAUUGGAGCGGUUACUCUACGCUACGUUUCUAUUUGGGAAAACGAAAAGCAAUCAACCGCCACUUAUUAUAU
RNAcentral lists this long non-coding RNA (1028 nucleotides) under Panax ginseng (ginseng). Its description in RNAcentral is "long non-coding RNA (PGIN_LNC006298)". Lineage: Eukaryota; Viridiplantae; Streptophyta; Magnoliopsida; Apiales; Araliaceae. The record is from RNAcentral.